Long non-coding RNA from Fukomys damarensis (Damara mole-rat), 488 nucleotides. RefSeq lists it as uncharacterized. The record is from RefSeq and is a predicted model, not a curated record. Lineage: Eukaryota; Metazoa; Chordata; Mammalia; Rodentia; Bathyergidae. The transcript has 3 exons.
UCAGAGUUUCUUUGCCAGAGAACCUGUUGUCAUCACUCACCCGUGUGAAACCCUCAGAUUUAUUAGUUUCUAGCAGCUGUUUGGAUUUGGUAGAGAGAUAGGAGAAUUGCAGCUAACAUUCCCCUAAACAGCAAAGCACUACACAGAUACAUUCUACGUUGACUGAGUGGAAAGUUCAGGUCCUAUAUGUUGGGAUACACACACAAAGGACCAGCACAGUUAAAGUUGCAAAAGCUAAGCAGGAAUUGGAAGCAAAGAAGUUAGGGUUAUCUACAACUCGCCGAAGACGCAAACCCCACCACUGAAGACACUAGAAGAACUGUGAUGCUCAGGAUGCCGCAAUAACAAAUUCUAUCAGAUGUGUGGAAUAAGCUGUGACGCCAGGAGAUCUGUAAGCACUGACAAGUUCAGAGAGGAACAGCAACAGCUAAUCUGCUCAGUUUUUGAAGUUGGGGAAUUAUGCUUUAAAUUAAAGAAGAUUUAUGAAG